AUACAUGAGCAAAAUCUCAACUUUAUUAGAAGAGACGCAUUUAUUAGAUAAAAAGCCAAUGCAUGCUUUUACAGUAUGAAAAUUGGUGAUUUAUAAUAACUUAGCAAAUCGCAAAGUGAAAACAGGCGAUAAAUCAUUCAAGUUUCUGACCUAUCAGCUUUCGACGGUAUGGUAUUGGCUUACCGUGGCAGUGACGGUUAACGGGGGAUUAGGGUUCGAUUCCGGAGAGGGAGCCUGAGAAACGGCUACCACAUCUAAGGAAGGCAGCAGGCGCGCAAAUUACCCAAUUCUAACAGUUUGAGAGAGGUAGUAACAAGAAAUAACAAUACAAGGCAGUUAAAAUGCUUUGUAAUUGGAAUGAUAGAAAUUUAAACCCUUUUUAAAGUAUCAAUUGGAGGGCAAGUCUGGUGCCAGCAGCCGCGGUAAUUCCAGCUCCAAUAGCGUAUAUUAAAAUUGUUGCAGUUAAAAAGCUCGUAGUUGAAGUUCUGCUAAAAGUAACCGGUCUGCUUUGAAUAAAAGUGGUAUCUUGGUAUGUAUUUAGCAAUGAUGUCCUUUGAAGUGUUUUUUACUUUAUUGUAAUAAAGCAUAUUCAGGACUUUUACUUUGAGAAAAUUAGAGUGUUUCUAGCAGGCCAACGCUUUGAAUACUGCAGCAUGGAAUAAUAAGAAGGGC
This 672-nucleotide ribosomal RNA is filed under the name Hepatozoon canis. RNAcentral describes it as "SSU rRNA". It matches the Rfam family "Eukaryotic small subunit ribosomal RNA", at positions 167 to 827 of the family's 1831-position model. Lineage: Eukaryota; Apicomplexa; Hepatozoidae. The record is from RNAcentral.